GCGCGCCAUCAUCGAGGACCUGAGCCCCAGCACCCGCCUCCUCAGCAGCUCCGUGCCCACCGAGCAUUCGAGGAGCACCAUGGAGCACCAACGAAUAUCAACAAAGUUUGAAAAAAUUUUAGCUGGCUUGGACGAACAAUCUCGUUUGCUUAAACAAAUCGAGGUUCAGAUGGAAGAAAAUAAUAAGGAAGCACUUAUUUGGGGCAUCGCGGAGCGAUAGACCUUACACCAUGGGUUGUGUCUAUACCUGUCUCGUUCCUUCUGUUCACCCUUUAUAAUUAUGUACAGAGCUGACUGACUCAAGAGCAGGAAAAUUGGGAAGUGCAAUUUAACUUGUAUGAACUCUCUGUUUAUUUUGGAAGUAGAGUGACGUAGUUCCUCAAAUGUUCUAUGGAAUUGGAAGGUUUAAUUUGAUAAAGCGAUUUGUGAUCUAUGCUCGUUGGCUGUUCCUUUGGUUGCUUAUUGUUCUGCACUGAACUGAAUGUAAGAUCAGGGUGAAUGGAGGGCUUUGUGUGGAUUUAUGUGAGCUGUACAUACCGACGCCAA
Molecule: long non-coding RNA, 546 nt
Organism: Panicum virgatum (switchgrass)
Lineage: Eukaryota; Viridiplantae; Streptophyta; Magnoliopsida; Poales; Poaceae
Exons: 3
Source: RefSeq, a predicted model, not a curated record